This 542-nucleotide long non-coding RNA is filed under the name Homo sapiens (human). RNAcentral describes it as "long non-coding RNA NONHSAT166277". Lineage: Eukaryota; Metazoa; Chordata; Mammalia; Primates; Hominidae. The record is from RNAcentral.
GGUUGAGAGAUUUGUGAGCCACGUGGAGAAGACCUGAAGCUGUGAACUGGAUACCAUGGCAGCUGAUGUCAGGACAGGCCGUCGAUAGAUGACCAAACCCUGCAUCCAAAGUGAGCUUUCCUGUCGGUGUUUUGACUUCUCGUGUGAACAAUGACUGAGGUGGUUCAUUCCUGCAGAGAAGCCCCUUCCUUCUCACCACGCACCAUCUGGGAGGCUGGACUGCAAAGGUGAAAUGGACAAUCAGCCCACUGGAAAAGUGACUGCUGGGCUGUAGGAAAGGGCAGGGCUCAUGGCCUUGCUGUCCAAACACCACUCACAAGUCCAGCAAAGGAAGGGUUGAAUGAAUUUUCAAAGCACUUUGAACUUUCAGGGGAGAAUAAAAUAGAAUGGAAAAGAGUAGAAUAAAAUAACCCAGACCAACCCACUCAAGUCCAAGGUAACCCCAAAGAAAGACUUACUAAUUGUGAUCUCAGCAAUCACUGAGAUACUAGGUGAGCCUCUUCCAUCAUUGCUAGUGUCUCACUGGAGUACUACAUCUUAGC